CAAAUGCCGAAUUCUCCACAAGCAUCUCAUCAUAAAUCCUCGAACCGAAGCGCGGCCCUCCUGCGCUGCAACUUGGCACAGAAAGUAGCGGGGAGGAGAGAGAGAGAGAGAGAGAGAGAGAGAGGAGGAGAGGCAAACGAGAGGCUCUCCGGAGAGAAGGACGACCAGCCUCUAGAUUCCCAUCUUUUCUCCUCCAAGCCUUUUCCUUUGCCUCUUAAUAACCUCGUACUAGAACACCCUCAAACUCCGGGAAAUAGAAGGCAGGGGAAGGCGGAAAGGAGGGCUUUUUGUUUGGUUGCUACGAUGGCGAGUUGGGUUCUAUCUGAAUGCUGUGGUCUAAGACCGCUGCCGGCGGAUUUCUCCCGGCCCACAUCCAGGCUCCAGCCGCUCCGGCGGAGCCUACCCUGUCCGGCCGUCCGUGGCGUGGAUUUCCGCCGCCAGAUCUGUCUCGGAGGCCGGCCGCCCUACCGGGACUGGGCGCUGAGGGUGAGCACGCCGCUGAGGGUAGCGACGGUGGAGGAGGAGAGGGAAGGUGGGGAGGUUAACGGGAAACGGGUGAAUGGAUGUGAAAGAGAGGUGCCGAAGUUCGACCAUGGUAUGCCGCCGCCGUUCGGGCUGGCGGAGAUCCGGGCGGCCAUCCCCAAGCACUGCUGGGUGAAGGAUCCCUGGAAAUCCAUGAGUUACGUCGUCCGAGAUGUCGUCGCUGUGUUUGGGCUCGCAGCCGCCGCCGCCUACCUCAAUAACUGGAUGGUGUGGCCGCUCUACUGGGCGGCUCAGGGCACCAUGUUCUGGGCUCUCUUCGUUCUUGGCCACGAUUGUGGUCAUGGAAGCUUUUCGAGCAAUCCGAAGCUGAACAGCGUGGUUGGGCAUUUGCUCCAUUCUUCCAUUCUCGUGCCUUACCAUGGCUGGAGGAUUAGUCACAGGACUCAUCACCAGAACCAUGGACACGUCGAGAAUGACGAGUCGUGGCACCCUUUACCAGAGAAGUUAUAUAGAAGUCUGGAUUCUGCAACUCGGAUUUUGCGUUUCACAUUGCCUUUCCCAAUGCUUGCAUACCCUUUGUACCUGUGGUCAAGGAGUCCAGGGAAGAAGGGGUCGCACUUCCAUCCGGAUAGUGAUCUAUUUCUUCCAAAGGAGAGGAAGGAUGUGAUAACAUCAACAGCGUGCUGGUCAGCAAUGGUGGCGGUACUUGCAGGAUUAACAUGGAAAUUUGGCCUUGUUCCAAUGAUAAAGCUGUAUGGAAUUCCCUACUUGGUGGGUCUAUUAACUCUUUUAAUUAUGUUUACUGUUAAUGAGAGCAUUCAUGGAUUUUUGGCUGUGAAUUUUGUUAUGAUUAAUUGUGGUUCUGAAUGCAGAUAUUCGUCAUGUGGUUGGAUUUUGUGACAUAUUUGCAUCAUCAUGGGCAUGAUGAGAAACUUCCUUGGUAUCGCGGAAAGGAGUGGAGUUAUCUCCGCGGAGGGCUUACAACAUUAGAUCGGGAUUAUGGAUGGAUCAAUAACAUCCACCAUGAUAUUGGGACUCAUGUGAUACAUCACCUCUUCCCACAGAUACCACAUUACCAUCUAAUAGAAGCUACUGAGGCAGCAAAGCCAGUGCUCGGAAAGUACUACAGGGAACCUGAGAAAUCUGGUCCUUUGCCAUUUCACCUAGUUGGUGUCCUCACGAAGAGCAUGGGAAGCGAUCGCUAUGUUAGUGAUACUGGAGAUGUCGUCUACUAUCAGAAUGAUAGCCAAAAGAAUAGUUUUUCACAGAAGAACUCAGAUUGAAACUUAGCUCACGUGCAUGGGAAGAUUUCUGAUGCACAAGUGUUCAAAUUCGUAUUAUUCAUUCUUUUCUCUUCCAGCUAAAGGGGAAGAGAUUGCAGAUUGAUGCACCUUCUGGUGGAAGAAGGUGCAUACCAAACUUGUCCUCAAAUGCAUUUUAUUAUGAUAUGUAAUUAAACAUGAACCUGUAUUUGUUAAGCUGCUGGGGAAAAUCAUCUCAGCACACGAAGCUAUAAUUAUUUUAGGUGAAAAUGUCAAGUAAUCAGAGAGAAAAGGAGGAAAGAAAAUAAUGCUGACUGCUGGUUACUUUAUCUAAAUUUCCAUGGCUAGUGUGCAUAUGAUUGGUGAAUGAAAAGGUGAUGAGAUUUUUGUUGAUUGAA
Molecule: non-coding RNA, 2143 nt
Organism: Elaeis guineensis (African oil palm)
Lineage: Eukaryota; Viridiplantae; Streptophyta; Magnoliopsida; Arecales; Arecaceae
Source: RefSeq, a predicted model, not a curated record